AUUGAACGCUGGCGGCAUGCCUUACACAUGCAAGUCGAACGGUAACGGGCCUUCGGGUGCCGACGAGUGGCGAACGGGUGAGUAAUACAUCGGAACGUGCCCGAUCGUGGGGGAUAACGAGGCGAAAGCUUUGCUAAUACCGCAUACGAUCUACGGAUGAAAGCAGGGGACCGCAAGGCCUUGCGCGGACGGAGCGGCCGAUGGCAGAUUAGGUAGUUGGUGGGAUAAAAGCUUACCAAGCCGACGAUCUGUAGCUGGUCUGAGAGGAUGAUCAGCCACACUGGGACUGAGACACGGCCCAGACUCCUAGGGGAGGCAGCAGUGGGGAAUUUUGGACAAUGGGCGCAAGCCUGAUCCAGCCAUGCCGCGUGCAGGAUGAAGGCCUUCGGGUUGUAAACUGCUUUUGUACGGAAAGAAAAGCCUUCUUUUAAUACAGGAGGGUCAUGACGGUACCGUAAGAAUAAGCACCGGCUAACUACGUG
This 482-nucleotide ribosomal RNA is filed under the name uncultured bacterium. RNAcentral describes it as "partial 16S ribosomal RNA". It matches the Rfam family "Bacterial small subunit ribosomal RNA", at positions 30 to 507 of the family's 1533-position model. The record is from RNAcentral.